GAUGAACGCUGGCGGCGUGCCUAAUACAUGCAAGUCGAGCGAACGGACGAGAAGCUUGCUUCUCUGAUGUUAGCGGCGGACGGGUGAGUAACACGUGGAUAACCUACCUAUAAGACUGGGAUAACUUCGGGAAACCGGAGCUAAUACCGGAUAAUAUUUUGAACCGCAUGGUGCAAAAGUGAAAGACGGUCUUUCUGUCAGUUAUAGAUGGAUCCGCGCUGCAUUAGCUAGUUGGUAAGGUAACGGCUUACCAAGGCAACGAUGCAUAGCCGACCUGAGAGGGUGAUCGGCCACACUGGAACUGAGACACGGUCCAGACUCCUACGGGAGGCAGCAGUAGGGAAUCUUCCGCAAUGGGCGAAAGCCUGACGGAGCAACGCCGCGUGAGUGAUGAAGGUCUUCGGAUCGUAAAACUCUGUUAUUAGGGAAGAACAUAUGUGUAAGUAACUGUGCACAUCUUGACGGUACCUAAUCAGAAAGCCACGGCUAACUACGUG
This 497-nucleotide ribosomal RNA is filed under the name uncultured bacterium. Its description in RNAcentral is "partial 16S ribosomal RNA". It matches the Rfam family "Bacterial small subunit ribosomal RNA", at positions 28 to 507 of the family's 1533-position model. The record is from RNAcentral.